GACGAACGCUGGCGGCGUGCUUAACACAUGCAAGUCGAACGAAGUGGCGAACGGGUGAGUAACGCGUAAUCAACCUGCCCUUCAGAGGGGGACAACAGUUGGAAACGACUGCUAAUACCGCAUACUGAAGGAGGGGAUUGCGUCUGAUUAGCUAGUUGGAGGGGUAACGGCCCACCAAGGCGAUGAUCAGUAGCCGGUCUGGGGGGAUGAACGGCCAAAAUGGGACUGGGACACGGCCCAGACUGCUUCGGGGGGCAGCAGUGGGGAAACUUCCGCAAUGGACGAAAGGCUGACGGAGCAACGGCGCGGGGGUGAUGACGGCCUUCGGGUUGGAAAGCUCUGUUAAUCGGGACGCGGUACCGGAAUAGAAAGCCACGGCUAACUACGUGCCAGCCGCCGCGGUAAUAC
This 408-nucleotide ribosomal RNA is filed under the name uncultured bacterium. RNAcentral's name for it is "partial 16S ribosomal RNA". It matches the Rfam family "Bacterial small subunit ribosomal RNA", at positions 28 to 526 of the family's 1533-position model. The record is from RNAcentral.